RNAcentral lists this ribosomal RNA (455 nucleotides) under Opisthopsis respiciens. RNAcentral describes it as "LSU rRNA". Lineage: Eukaryota; Metazoa; Arthropoda; Insecta; Hymenoptera; Formicidae. The record is from RNAcentral.
GAUCGAAAGGGGAGAUUCAUCGGUCASGACGCUUGCUUCGCGUCGGUGGGCGAUGUCCCGCGGAGUCCUCGCGGCUCGCGCGCGGGCACGCUACCGUGCGUCGAUGUCCGGCUGUCGUCGUCGUGCACUUCUCCCCAAGUAGAACGUCGCGACCCGCUGGGUGUCGGUCUACGGCCCGGGUGCGGUGACUGCCGCGUCGCCGGUAAAACGGCACGCGACAAACCCUCGGACGCCCGGCCGGCUGCUCGGCGGUACGCGCAUGGUAUCAGGCCGCACUCUUUAACGAGAUGCGUCGAGGCCGUCGCAAGCGCGCGCCACGGUACUCGGAGGUUACGGACUCAGCGCCGUCCCCGGCUCCUGGCCCGCUGUUGGUUAACGCAAAAGUACGGAUAACCUUCGACAGGCCUGCGAACGUCUCCCUCUUCGGGGGGUGACGGAUACCGGUCGGCGACGCU